RNAcentral lists this ribosomal RNA (468 nucleotides) under uncultured bacterium. Its description in RNAcentral is "partial 16S ribosomal RNA". It matches the Rfam family "Bacterial small subunit ribosomal RNA", at positions 28 to 507 of the family's 1533-position model. The record is from RNAcentral.
GACGAACGCUGGCGGCGUGCUUAACACAUGCAAGUCGAACGGAAAGGCCCUGCUCUUGUGGGGUGCUCGAGUGGCGAACGGGUGAGUAACACGUGAGUAACCUGUCCUUGACUGUGGGAUAACUUCAGGAAACUGGGGCUAAUACCGGAUAGGAGCUCCUGCUGCAUGGUGGGGGUUGGAAAGUUUCGGCGGUUGGGGAUGGACUCGCGGCUUAUGAGCUUGUUGGUGGGGUAGUGGCUUACCAAGGCUUUGACGGGUAGCCGGCCUGGGAGGGUGGACGGCCACAUUGGGACUGAGAUACGGACCAGAAUCCAACGGGAGGCAGCAGUGGGGAAUCUUGCACAGUGGGCGGGAGCCUGAUACGGCAGCGCCGCGUGCGGGAUGACGGCCUUCGGGUUGUGAACCGCUUUCGCCUGUGACGAAGCGUGAGUGACGGUACUGGGUAAAGAAGCCCCGGCUAACUACGUG